AAAGAUUAAUCCAUGCAUGUGUCACCGUAAGCUUCCACACAGUUCAACUGCGAACGGCUCAUUACAACAGUUACCGUGUCUGCAGUAAUCGAACAUCAUAUGGAUAACUGUGGUAAACCUAGGGCUAAUACAUGCUACAAACCUGACUUUCGAGGAAAGGUUGCGUUUAUCAGACACAGAACUGCCACAGGCUUCGCCUGGCCCACAGGUGAGUCAUGAUGACCGAGCGAAUCGCAUAGCUCCGGCUGGCGAUGGACUGCAUCAGUUUCUGACCUAUCAGCUUCCGACGCUAGGGUAUUGGCCUACCGUGGCAAUGACGGGUGACGGGGGAUUAGGGUUUUAUACCGGAGAGGGAGCUUGACAAACGGCUACCACAUCUAAGGAAGGCAGCAGGCGCGCAAAUUGCCCAAUUCUGGCAUAGAGAGGUAGUGACAAGAAAUAACAAUAUGGGGCAUUACUGUCUUGUAAUUGGAAUGAGCACAUUCUACACCUGUCUGUGAGUAUCAAUUGGAGGGCAAGUCUGGUGCCAGCAGCCGCGGCAAUUCCAGCUCCAAUAGCGUAUAUUAAAGCUGUUGCGGUAAAAAGCUCGUAGUUGGAUUUCUGUUGAGGACAUCCGGUCCGCCCUCCGGGUGAGCAUCUGGUUUGGUCUCGGCAUCUUCUUGGAAAGUGCGACUGCACUUGACUGUGUGGCGCAAUAUCCAGGACGGUCACUUUGAGGAAAUUAGAGUGUUUAAAGCAGGCACAUGCCUUUGAACACACUAGCAUGGAAUAACAACAUUGGACCUCUGCUCUCUUUUGUCAGUUUCUAGAGCUGAGGGGAAGAUUAGUAGGGAUGGUUGGGGGCAUCCGAAUUUAGCUGUCAGAGGUGAAAUUCUUGGAUUUGCUAAAGACGGACAACUGCGAAAGCAUUUGCCCAGGAUGUUUUCAUUGAUCAAGAACGAAAGUUAGGGGAUCGAAGACGAUCAGAUACCGUCCUAGUCUUAACCAUAAACCAUGCCAACUAGGGAUUGGUGGCUGUUCACUGCAUGACUCCUCCAGCACCUGAUGAGAAAUCAAAGUCUUUGGGUUCCGGGGGGAGUAUGGUCGCAAGGCUGAAA
This 1097-nucleotide ribosomal RNA is filed under the name uncultured dinoflagellate. Its description in RNAcentral is "bacterial SSU rRNA". It matches the Rfam family "Eukaryotic small subunit ribosomal RNA", at positions 39 to 1142 of the family's 1831-position model. Lineage: Eukaryota; Dinophyceae. The record is from RNAcentral.